AGUGAACGCUGGCGGUAGGCCUAACACAUGCAAGUCGAACGGCAGCACAGUAAGAGCUUGCCCUUACGGGUGGCGAGUGGCGGACGGGUGAGGAAUACAUCGGAAUCUACUUUUUCAUGGGGGAUAACGUAGGGAAACUUACGCUAAUACCGCAUACGACCUACGGGUGAAAGCAGGGGAUCUUCGGACCUUGCGCGAUUGAAUGAGCCGAUGUCGGAUUAGCUAGUUGGCGGGGCAAAGGCCCACCAAGGCGACGAUCCGUAGCUGGUCUGAGAGGAUGAUCAGCCACACUGGAACUGAGACACGGUCCAGACUCCUACGGGAGGCAGCAGUGGGGAAUAUUGGACAAUGGGCGCAAGCCUGAUCCAGCCAUACCGCGUGGGUGAAGAAGGCCUUCGGGUUGUAAAGCCCUUUUGUUGGGAAAGAAAAGCAGCAGGUUAAUACCCCGCUGUUCUGACGGUACCCAAAGAAUAAGCACCGGCUAACUUCGUG
Molecule: ribosomal RNA, 492 nt
Filed under: uncultured bacterium
Lineage: Bacteria
Description: partial 16S ribosomal RNA
Rfam family: Bacterial small subunit ribosomal RNA
Source: RNAcentral